UUGGGGAGUACCCGAAGCCUGUGAGCUAACAUUAUAGGAGCAGCAGUCGAAGGUAGAAUCAAUGAUUGGGUGAAGUCGUAACAAGGUACC
This 90-nucleotide ribosomal RNA is filed under the name uncultured bacterium. Its description in RNAcentral is "partial 16S ribosomal RNA". The record is from RNAcentral.